Long non-coding RNA from Cydia strobilella, 351 nucleotides. RefSeq lists it as uncharacterized. NCBI's taxonomy places the organism in Eukaryota, Metazoa, Arthropoda, Insecta, Lepidoptera, Tortricidae. The transcript has 3 exons. The record is from RefSeq and is a predicted model, not a curated record.
GGUCAUAAGUUCUGUCACAAAUGUUUUGACUGAUAAAAUGUUAUACAAAGCUUUUAAUAAAAAGAGUUAACCAUGAUUUGAAAGCUGUUUUUAUACUGAUCAAAAUCGAAUAUAAUUAUUUUAAAAUUUAGAUCGCGACUUUGUUUACUACUUGUUUACUUUGGGAUUGUCGUUACACGCGAAUACGCGGCUGGAUUGUGAAAAAUUAUACUUCACAAAAGGGAGUCAAAAUCAGUGUCACAUUAAUAAAAUUGGUACAAUUGUUUAUUUGUGUGAACCUACUUUAUUAGAAAGUUAUUUUAUCACCAGCAUUUAGUUCUCUGACAAGUCUGUACAUCACACUAUUUCCCC